RNAcentral lists this ribosomal RNA (429 nucleotides) under Chloroflexota bacterium. RNAcentral's name for it is "Chloroflexi bacterium partial 16S ribosomal RNA". It matches the Rfam family "Bacterial small subunit ribosomal RNA", at positions 355 to 776 of the family's 1533-position model. Lineage: Bacteria; Bacillati; Chloroflexota. The record is from RNAcentral.
UGGGGAAUAUUGCACAAUGGGCGCAAGCCUGAUGCAGCCAUGCCGCGUGUGUGAAGAAGGCCUUCGGGUUGUAAAGCACUUUCAGCGGGGAGGAAGGCGAUAAGGUUAAUAACCUCAUCGAUUGACGUUACCCGCAGAAGAAGCACCGGCUAACUCCGUGCCAGCAGCCGCGGUAAUACGGAGGGUGCAAGCGUUAAUCGGAAUUACUGGGCGUAAAGCGCACGCAGGCGGUCUGUCAAGUCGGAUGUGAAAUCCCCGGGCUCAACCUGGGAAAUGCAUUCGAAACUGGCAGGCUAGAGUCUUGUAGAGGGGGGUAGAAUUCCAGGUGUAGCGGUGAAAUGCGUAGAGAUCUGGAGGAAUACCGGUGGCGAAGGCGGCCCCCUGGACAAAGACUGACGCUCAGGUGCGAAAGCGUGGGGAGCAAACAGG